RNAcentral lists this ribosomal RNA (752 nucleotides) under uncultured bacterium. RNAcentral's name for it is "bacterial SSU rRNA". It matches the Rfam family "Bacterial small subunit ribosomal RNA", at positions 47 to 788 of the family's 1533-position model. The record is from RNAcentral.
CCUAACACAUGCAAGUCGAACGGUAACAGGAAGAAGCUUGCUUCUUUGCUGACGAGUGGCGGACGGGUGAGUAAUGUCUGGGAAACUGCCUGAUGGAGGGGGAUAACUACUGGAAACGGUAGCUAAUACCGCAUAACGUCGCAAGACCAAAGAGGGGGACCUUCGGGCCUCUUGCCAUCGGAUGUGCCCAGAUGGGAUUAGCUAGUAGGUGGGGUAACGGCUCACCUAGGCGACGAUCCCUAGCUGGUCUGAGAGGAUGACCAGCCACACUGGAACUGAGACACGGUCCAGACUCCUACGGGAGGCAGCAGUGGGGAAUAUUGCACAAUGGGCGCAAGCCUGAUGCAGCCAUGCCGCGUGUAUGAAGAAGGCCUUCGGGUUGUAAAGUACUUUCAGCGGGGAGGAAGGGAGUAAAGUUAAUACCUUUGCUCAUUGACGUUACCCGCAGAAGAAGCACCGGCUAACUCCGUGCCAGCAGCCGCGGUAAUACGGAGGGUGCAAGCGUUAAUCGGAAUUACUGGGCGUAAAGCGCACGCAGGCGGUUUGUUAAGUCAGAUGUGAAAUCCCCGGGCUCAACCUGGGAACUGCAUCUGAUACUGGCAAGCUUGAGUCUCGUAGAGGGGGGUAGAAUUCCAGGUGUAGCGGUGAAAUGCGUAGAGAUCUGGAGGAAUACCGGUGGCGAAGGCGGCCCCCUGGACGAAGACUGACGCUCAGGUGCGAAAGCGUGGGGAGCAAACAGGAUCAGAUACCCU